Molecule: ribosomal RNA, 773 nt
Filed under: uncultured Neocallimastigales
Lineage: Eukaryota; Fungi; Neocallimastigomycota; Neocallimastigomycetes; Neocallimastigales
Description: partial large subunit ribosomal RNA
Rfam family: Eukaryotic large subunit ribosomal RNA
Source: RNAcentral
AUCUCUGUAGAGUCUGCAUAUCAAUAAGCGGAGGAAAAGAAACUAACUAGGAUUCCCUCAGUAACGGCGAGUGAAGCGGGAAGAGCUCAAAUUUGAAAUCUUCAAGGUUCUACCUUGACGAAUUGUAGUUUAAAGAAGUGUUUUCUGUUGGUGUUUUGGUAAAAGUUCUUUGGAAUAGGACAUCAUAGAGGGUGAGAAUCCCGUAUUUGACCAUUAUUUCCAGCUUUGUGAUACACUUUCAAAGAGUCGGAUUGUUUGGGAAUGCAGUCCAAAAUGGGUGGUAAAUUUCAUCUAAAGCUAAAUAUUGGCGAGAGACCGAUAGCGAACAAGUACCGUGAGGGAAAGAUGAAAAGAACUUUGAAAAGAGAGUUAAACAGUACGUGAAAUUGUCAAAAGGGAAGCGUUUGACACCAGGUGUUGUUUUCUCGAAAAUCAAUUAAAAAAAGUUGGAUUUUGUGUUGUAUUGACCUAACAGCUUUCUGCACUCUUUUCCUGCUUUUUUUAAUGCACUUUUCGUUUAACAAGUCAACAUCAGUUUCUUUUGUUGUAAAAGGGUCAUUGGAAGGUGGCUUUCUUUUCGGAGAAAGUGUUUAUAGCCUUUGGCUUCUGCAAUCGGAGAGAUUGAGGUCUGCAGCGUAGAUCCUUCGGGGCUAGAUACGUAGAUGCUAAGUUAUAGUUUUUUAUAGACAACUUGUUGACUAUAAUUAAUCAUGUAGCUUACUCGUUUGCGCUAUUUUACCUACGCUUAGGAUGUUGAUAGUCACAGCGUGUAC